This 375-nucleotide unclassified non-coding RNA is filed under the name uncultured Gammaproteobacteria bacterium. RNAcentral's name for it is "contains 16S-23S intergenic spacer region". Lineage: Bacteria; Pseudomonadati; Pseudomonadota; Gammaproteobacteria. The record is from RNAcentral.
UCCGGCUCUUCACCGGCAGUCCCCUUAGAGUCCCCAACUAAAUGAUGGCAACUAAGGGCAAGGGUUGCGCUCGUUACGGGACUUAACCCAACAUCUCACAACACGAGCUGACGACAGCCAUGCAGCACCUGUCUCUGAGCUCCUCUCGGCACUGCCUAAUCUCUUAAGCAUUCUCAGGAUGUCAAAAGUAGGUAAGGUUCUUCGCGUUGCAUCGAAUUAAACCACAUGCUCCACCGCUUGUGCGGGCCCCCGUCAAUUCCUUUGAGUUUCAACCUUGCGGCCGUACUUCCCAGGCGGAGAACUUAUCGCGUUUGCUUCGACACUAAAUGGUUCCCCAUCCAACAUCUAGUUCUCAUCGUUUACAGCGUGGACUAC